RNAcentral lists this long non-coding RNA (1106 nucleotides) under Pan troglodytes (chimpanzee). RNAcentral's name for it is "long non-coding RNA NONPTRT002763". The record is from RNAcentral. Lineage: Eukaryota; Metazoa; Chordata; Mammalia; Primates; Hominidae.
CAGGAUGAAGGCUUCUGAGCAGGAGAAGCUGUGGAACAGGCUGUGGCCUCCACAGUGGGUCAGAGCUGGAUGUCUGUAGACACACACUGGGAACAUCUGGAAACCAGAGCAAUCAAGGAAACAUUCACUAGAACAUGUAUCUUUUUCCUUUACAACCAUGGAUCUCAGUCCCAACACUUUCUUUGUGCCAGGAAUUGUAUCGCACAAUUAAGAUUCCCAGAGUGGUGAGAUGUCUAACAACAAUGGCAGAAAGAGCUGGUCCUGUUUUGUGGGGGAAGAGAGGUGGAUACAAACACCUAAGAACUGUCAAAGAGAAGGAGCAACACUUACAAAGAACUGGGGCCACUGUUAGCAGUUUCAGGGGCCCAGAGAUCAAUCCCACAUAUGGAAGAAGUUUCUUACCAUUAGAAUGACCCCAUAAUGAAGGCUGGGCGCGGUGGCUCAUGCCUGUAAUCUCAGCACUUUGGGAGGCCAAGGCUGGCAGAUCAACUGAGGUCAGGAGUUUAAAACUAGCCUGGGCAACAUGGUAAAACCCUGUCUCUACUAAAAAUACAAAAAUUAGCCAGGCAUGGUGGCACAUGCCUGUAGUCCCAGCUAUUCAGGAGGCUGAGGCAGGAAAAUAAUUUGAACUCCGGAGGCGGAGGUUGCGGUGAGCUGAGAUUGCACCACUGCACUCCAGCCUGGGCAACAGAGUGAGACCCUGUCUCAAAAGAAAAAAAGAAAAAGAAAAAGAAAGAACAACUCCAUAAUGCAAAAACAGGCUUGAUAAUUAGUGAAGUCCAUGUAACUAGAGGUUGCAAGGCUGAGGUCUUUGUCUGGAAUGCUGCAGAGAUGUAGUACUUGGAUAGCAGCUAGAUUAAAAACCUUUAAGUGACCUUCUAACCCUAGAUUCAUUGCUUCUAAAAAUAAUAAUAAUAACAUAAAUGAAUCACAUGAACAAGAUUGUAGCCAGGCACAGUGGCUCACAUCUGUAAUCCCAACACUUUUAGAGGCUAAGGCCAGAGGAUCGCUUGAGGCCAGGAGUUUGAGACCAGCCAGGCAACAUAGAAAGACCCCUUUUCUAUAAAAAGUCAAAAAAGUUAGUCAGGCAUUGUGACAUGCACCUG